Molecule: ribosomal RNA, 429 nt
Filed under: Bacteroidota bacterium
Lineage: Bacteria; Pseudomonadati; Bacteroidota
Description: Bacteroidetes bacterium partial 16S ribosomal RNA
Rfam family: Bacterial small subunit ribosomal RNA
Source: RNAcentral
UAGGGAAUCUUCGGCAAUGGGGGGAACCCUGACCGAGCAACGCCGCGUGAGUGAAGAAGGUUUUCGGAUCGUAAAGCUCUGUUGUUAAGGAAGAACGAGUGUGAGAAUGGAAAGUUCAUACUGUGACGGUACUUAACCAGAAAGGGACGGCUAACUACGUGCCAGCAGCCGCGGUAAUACGUAGGUCCCGAGCGUUGUCCGGAUUUAUUGGGCGUAAAGCGAGCGCAGGCGGUUAGAAAAGUCUGAAGUGAAAGGCAGUGGCUCAACCAUUGUAGGCUUUGGAAACUGUUUAACUUGAGUGCAGAAGGGGAGAGUGGAAUUCCAUGUGUAGCGGUGAAAUGCGUAGGUAUAUGGAGGAACACCGGUGGCGAAAGCGGCUCUCUGGUCUGUAACUGACGCUGAGGCUCGAAAGCGUGGGGAGCGAACAGG